AACGAACGCUGGCGGCAUGCCUAACACAUGCAAGUCGAACGAGACCUUCGGGUCUAGUGGCGCACGGGUGCGUAACGCGUGGGAAUCUGCCCUUGGGUUCGGAAUAACUCGCCGAAAGGCGUGCUAAUACCGGAUAUUAUGGUUUCUUCGCAUGGGGGAAUCAUGAAAGCUACAUGCGCUAAGAGAGAGCUUUGCGUCCCAUUAGCCCGUUGGUGAGGUAACGGCCCACCAAGGCAAUGAUGGGUAGCCGGCCUGAGAGGGUGAACGGCCACAAGGGGACUGAGACACGGCCCUU
This 295-nucleotide ribosomal RNA is filed under the name uncultured bacterium. Its description in RNAcentral is "partial 16S ribosomal RNA". It matches the Rfam family "Bacterial small subunit ribosomal RNA", at positions 29 to 334 of the family's 1533-position model. The record is from RNAcentral.